This 532-nucleotide ribosomal RNA is filed under the name Paenarthrobacter nitroguajacolicus. Its description in RNAcentral is "bacterial SSU rRNA". It matches the Rfam family "Bacterial small subunit ribosomal RNA", at positions 374 to 916 of the family's 1533-position model. The record is from RNAcentral. Lineage: Bacteria; Bacillati; Actinomycetota; Actinomycetes; Micrococcales; Micrococcaceae.
GGCGCAAGCCUGAUGCAGCGACGCCGCGUGAGGGAUGACGGCCUUCGGGUUGUAAACCUCUUUCAGUAGGGAAGAAGCGAAAGUGACGGUACCUGCAGAAGAAGCGCCGGCUAACUACGUGCCAGCAGCCGCGGUAAUACGUAGGGCGCAAGCGUUAUCCGGAAUUAUUGGGCGUAAAGAGCUCGUAGGCGGUUUGUCGCGUCUGCUGUGAAAGACCGGGGCUCAACUCCGGUUCUGCAGUGGGUACGGGCAGACUAGAGUGCAGUAGGGGAGACUGGAAUUCCUGGUGUAGCGGUGAAAUGCGCAGAUAUCAGGAGGAACACCGAUGGCGAAGGCAGGUCUCUGGGCUGUAACUGACGCUGAGGAGCGAAAGCAUGGGGAGCGAACAGGAUUAGAUACCCUGGUAGUCCAUGCCGUAAACGUUGGUUUCUAGGUGUGGGGGACAUUCCACGUUUUCCGCGCCGUAGCUAACGCAUUAAGUGCCCCGCCUGGGGAGUACGGCCGCAAGGCUAAAACUCAAAUGAAUUGACGG